AAACCAACUGGGAUUACCUUAGUAACGGCGAGUGAAGCGGUAAAAGCUCAAAUUUGAAAUCUGGUACUUUCAGUGCCCGAGUUGUAAUUUGUAGAAUUUGUCUUUGAUUAGGUCCUUGUCUAUGUUCCUUGGAACAGGACGUCAUAGAGGGUGAGAAUCCCGUUUGGCGAGGAUACCUUUUCUCUGUAAGACUUUUUCGAAGAGUCGAGUUGUUUGGGAAUGCAGCUCAAAGUGGGUGGUAAAUUCCAUCUAAAGCUAAAUAUUGGCGAGAGACCGAUAGCGAACAAGUACAGUGAUGGAAAGAUGAAAAGAACUUUGAAAAGAGAGUGAAAAAGUACGUGAAAUUGUUGAAAGGGAAGGGCAUUUGAUCAGACAUGGUGUUUUUAGCAUGCACUCGCCUCUCGUGGGCUUGGGCCUCUCAAAAAUUUCACUGGGCCAACAUCAAUUUUGGCGGCAGGAAAAUCUUUGGAAUGUAGCUACCUCGGUAUGUUAUAGCCUUUUGAAAUCUGUCAGCUGGGA
RNAcentral lists this ribosomal RNA (519 nucleotides) under uncultured Hanseniaspora. Its description in RNAcentral is "eukaryotic LSU rRNA". It matches the Rfam family "Eukaryotic large subunit ribosomal RNA", at positions 62 to 582 of the family's 3401-position model. Lineage: Eukaryota; Fungi; Ascomycota; Saccharomycetes; Saccharomycodales; Saccharomycodaceae. The record is from RNAcentral.